GGCCCCGCCCCGCCAAUAGUGCGGGCUCUGCCGCGGAGCCGGGGCCGGCUCGGGGUGGUUCCCGAGCGGCGGCGCCGCUCCUCGGUGCCGGCGGCGGGCGGGGAAGAGCGGGCAGCCAUGGGGUUGCGCAGGGUCCGCCGGGUCUCGCGCGGCGGAGCUCGCCCGCCCGGGCGCCGGGGCACGGGCGGGGCGGGGUGGUCCCACCCCCGCGGGCGGAGCCGGGUCCGGUCGACAAGAUGGCGGCGGGCCUGAGGGCGGUGAGGCGCUGGGGGUUGGUGGCGGCACCACCCAGCCUUGCUUUUACUCGUUCUGCGUCUGUUGUGAAAAAAGCAAAUAAUGCCGAACCAAACUGGCUGGGAGUUGGAUUGGCAUUUGGCACCAGUGCUGCCUUGUGGGCUCUUCUCUUCAAGCAGCAUAAUGAAGAUGUCAUGGAAUAUGAAAGAAGAAAACAAGCGAGAGAACAUAAGUGUACACAAUGUUCAUAGCUGAUGACAUGGUCACAAAGAGAUGUGCACUACAGGGUCAAGUGUAUGUGGUCGUUGUUCUACAAAUAAAUGAGCACAGAAGAAUUAAAAAGUUACCCCAGUUACUUGUAUGUUCAUGCAUUUUAUGUGCAUAAUUAAAAAUAAAUUAUAAAGUCUAGAAGAAACCUGAAACUACUUUCUUUACCAUUAUUAUUUCAUUCUGCUGGUCUUGAAGUUGUUUUAUGUUUUUAUUUCCAUUUCAUAGUUUUUCAGUCUUACUUUCAAAACUGCCUUUGCUAUUCUGGAAGGUAUAUUACAAAAUUAAAUAUCAGUUCAGAUGAAGUUCAGUUAAUAUUCCAGAAGUGUAGUCUUGCUCUGCCAUCACUUUCACUGCUAAAUUUAUAAAAUUAGCAAGUAUAAGAAUAGGAUUUAUUAUAAAUGCUAAGAUACGCAUUUUCUUGUGAGCAUUUUGGGGACUGGCCAUGCCAGAAAGGUGCCCACAGGAGAUGGGCUGCACAGUGCAGCCCAUGUCAGUCUUGGGUGUGAGCACUUCCUUCUGAGCACUCCUGCCCUCUCUUUGUGCAUCAAGGUCAGUCAAGGACAAAGGCUGGAAAAAUGGCCUCAUGGCAGAAUAUGGCAUUAGAUGAUCAUUGAACGAACAAAGAAGCUCUGUAUGGAAAAAGGAGGAGAAACAGGGCUACUGCCUAACAAUGUAGGUAGGACAAGGAUAGCUGUCCAGGUAUGACCUGGAGAUGCCCGUGACUGUGACAGUCGACGUCCCAGAGCAGCGAUUCGCUUCCAGUGUCUCACUGCCAACACCGAACGCCUUUGGCACGUUGCUUAACCCGAGUGCCCUUCGCCGUGAGUUUAGUUGAUUUCUCCAUUUUUUUUUCUCUUGGAGAAAUUCCUUUUUAAGUAGGACAGUAGUUCCUUUCUAUCUUCCUUCUCCUUGGUCAAUGGCAUCCCUAUUAUCCCGGGUCUGUUGUCGCAGUCAGUACCGAGCGCCAUUUACUUGCCGUGGGGCAGGUCGGUGUCGGCAGCGCCCGGCUCUGCGCGCUGUGCGCUCCUCUCCGGGAAGCCGCUUCCCCCUCCCGCUGCAGCCGGGGCUCUGCUCCCUCCCGCCGCCACCGCGCCGUCCCCGGAGCACCCCCGGCCGGGAGCUGCGUCCAGGUGCGCGGGGCGGGGCUGCGGCUCGACCCGCCCCCGCGGCACCCGAGGCGGGACCGGUGUCUGCCGCCGCAUCCCCGCCACGACGGGCAGCCGAGAGUCUGCUUCGUCCUGCUCCGCUCCGCUGCCCGCUGCUCCAUCUCCAUGUCCCUCUGCAGGGCCGCCUCGCAGGCGCUGGCCUCCCGCCUGAGCCGGGCUCCUGCCGCCGCCAGCCGCCUCAAGCAGCGUGGCCUACAGAAUAGUCAAUUCACCCCGCAGCAAUUUUGUUGAAAAUACAAACAUACUUCGUGAGAGAGCCGAGGGGCAGAAAAGCAAUCCUUGGUCAAGAAAGGACACAAGGGAAAUCUCUUUGCAAACCUGAGGAAGUUAAAUACAAACAAAGGACAAUCGUUUACCAUUGAGUACAUUGCAGCCUACCUUGGGAUGACUUUAGACCUCCUAUUGUAAAACUCCAUUUGUGUGAGACUUUAAAAGAACUACCUAUGUUUGCAAGGCCAAACCAUAUUGAGCUUAUUACUGAAUCUGCUUUGUAGAAGGCAGUUCUGAGAUGCAGAAGCUGGCUGUUCUGAAUUAAUGCACUCUAUAUUUGACUGUCCAAUAAAGUGUACUGAAUGCUGA
Molecule: RNA transcript, 2249 nt
Organism: Motacilla alba alba
Lineage: Eukaryota; Metazoa; Chordata; Aves; Passeriformes; Motacillidae
Gene: MGARP
Gene name: mitochondria localized glutamic acid rich protein
Exons: 6
Source: RefSeq, a predicted model, not a curated record